UUAUGAGCUGGUGUGCAGAGAAACGAUGUAUAGCUCUACGCGCUGCCCUGGGCUACGACAAUCACCACCGAGUACCUGCUGCAACAACAGUGUGCUGCCCUGAUUUUGGAUUUGGUUUUGUAGUGAUUUUAUCGAUGGUGUUUGCAGUUGGUAAUGGUGGAGGUGACGGCAACGGUGUCUGUGAGUUGGUAGUGAUUGUGGUGACUUAUUAUAUAAUUAGUAUGUGAAUGGUUGGUGGUGGAGCUGGUUGUUUGUGGCUGAAGAUCUGAUAAUGGUGUUUGUGGUGAUUUUUGUUGGUAGUGGAUUGGAUCUAGUGGUGACGGCUUUUGUUGUUUAUGGUGUUGGUACUAUUGUGGUGGUGGCAGUGGCAAA
This 372-nucleotide long non-coding RNA is filed under the name Olea europaea (common olive). RNAcentral's name for it is "long non-coding RNA (OEUR_LNC004913)". Lineage: Eukaryota; Viridiplantae; Streptophyta; Magnoliopsida; Lamiales; Oleaceae. The record is from RNAcentral.